AAAAGCACUUUGAAAAGAGAGUGCAAGAGAACGUGAAACCGUUGUAGUGGAAGCAGAUGGAGCCGACGUAUCCAGUGCGUAUUCAGCUGUUGUCGAGCACGAUUUUGUCGUUUUUAGAGUUCUGCAAAGUCUCUGGCGAUGAAAUGUCGUGUUCGGGAGCAGUGCAUUUGCGUACAGAGUGCGCCGAAUCGGCUGGACUCUAGUGUGCGAAGGUCGUAAAGAGGACCAGUCUUCGGGCUGGAAACCUGGGCGAUACGGAGAACAGAUGAGUCUAGCUGCGUUGUGGGUGAGGCUUAUUUGGAGCGAUCGAGCGAGCGUGGUGUUGUUUGCACGAGACGCAUGCGUUUCGUGUUUGUAGCAUUCGACUGGUUUGAUGGCUGCUAAGCCUACAUUCGGUGUCUAGUCGGUGACCCAUUUGACCCGUCUUGAAACACGGACCAAGGAGUUUAGGGUGUGCGCGAGUCAUUGAGUGGAAAGCUCAAAGGCGUAAUGAAAGUGGGACACUUGGUGUCUGUGAUGCGAUCUGUGUGUGAUUUGUUGUGCGCGGAGCAGCAUCGACCCACGACCAGGACUUGUUCUGUUGUGGAGUCUGAGCGUACGCUUUGAGACCCGAAAGAUGGUGAACUAUGCCUGAACAGGAUGAAGUCAGAGGAAACUCUGAUGGAAGUCCGAAGCGGUUCUGACGUGCAAAUCGAUCGUCUGAUUUGGGUAUAGGGGC
This 718-nucleotide ribosomal RNA is filed under the name Ficophagus sp. ex Ficus hirta var. roxburghii YN-3. RNAcentral describes it as "partial large subunit ribosomal RNA". It matches the Rfam family "Eukaryotic large subunit ribosomal RNA", at positions 367 to 924 of the family's 3401-position model. The record is from RNAcentral. Lineage: Eukaryota; Metazoa; Nematoda; Chromadorea; Rhabditida; Aphelenchoididae.